This 234-nucleotide long non-coding RNA is filed under the name Elaeis guineensis (African oil palm). RNAcentral describes it as "long non-coding RNA (EGUI_LNC062528)". The record is from RNAcentral. Lineage: Eukaryota; Viridiplantae; Streptophyta; Magnoliopsida; Arecales; Arecaceae.
UAGGACUCCUCCUCUAAUUAGGUGACAUCUAAUUCCUAAUUGGAUUAGAUUUUAAUCUAAAUAGUUUGGACUCUUAAUUAGAUUAAGAUUUCAAUCUAUUUGGAUUUAAUCAAUUUUUAAUAUGAUUAAAAUUGGUUAGUGUUUUAUUUGAUUUAAAUUAGCCACCUAAAGAGGAGUCCCAUGGUGUUAGAACUCUACCUCUCCUUGCACCAUUAUGAAGCCCCACACCCACCA